This 490-nucleotide ribosomal RNA is filed under the name uncultured bacterium. Its description in RNAcentral is "partial 16S ribosomal RNA". It matches the Rfam family "Bacterial small subunit ribosomal RNA", at positions 30 to 507 of the family's 1533-position model. The record is from RNAcentral.
AUUGAACGCUGGCGGCAGGCCUAACACAUGCAAGUCGAACGGUAACAGGAAGCAGCUUGCUGCUUUGCUGACGAGUGGCGGACGGGUGAGUAAUGUCUGGGAAACUGCCUGAUGGAGGGGGAUAACUACUGGAAACGGUAGCUAAUACCGCAUAACGUCGCAAGACCAAAGAGGGGGACCUUCGGGCCUCUUGCCAUCGGAUGUGCCCAGAUGGGGUUAGCUAGUAGGUGGGGUAACGGCUCACCUAGGCGACGAUCCCUAGCUGGUCUGAGAGGAUAACCAGCCACACUGGAACUGAGACACGGUCCAGACUCCUACGGGAGGCAGCAGUGGGGAAUAUUGCACAAUGGGCGCAAGCCUGAUGCAGCCAUGCCGCGUGUAUGAAGAAGGCCUUCGGGUUGUAAAGUACUUUCAGCGGGGAGGAAGGGAGUAAAGUUAAUACCUUGGCUCAUUGACGUUACCCGCAGAAGAAGCACCGGCUAACUCCGUG